Long non-coding RNA from Dermochelys coriacea (leatherback sea turtle), 146 nucleotides. RefSeq lists it as uncharacterized. Lineage: Eukaryota; Metazoa; Chordata; Testudines; Dermochelyidae. The record is from RefSeq and is a predicted model, not a curated record. The transcript is spliced from 4 exons.
GACUACUACUCUACAGCCCCUUUCUGUUGCCAGCUUCCUGUCUUUAUAAACCCAGCCCAGCUACUCCCCCAGCUGGAUUUCAUCAGCAAAUUAGGCCUUAGCAUUCCCUGGCUUUCCUCCAGAAGGAACUUAAUUGGCAGAUUGGA